RNAcentral lists this ribosomal RNA (253 nucleotides) under uncultured bacterium. Its description in RNAcentral is "partial 16S ribosomal RNA". It matches the Rfam family "Bacterial small subunit ribosomal RNA", at positions 524 to 776 of the family's 1533-position model. The record is from RNAcentral.
UACGUAGGGGGCAAGCGUUGUCCGGAUUUAUUGGGCGUAAAGAGCGUGUAGGCGGCUAGGUAGGUCCGUUGUGAAAACUCGAGGCUCAACCUCGAGACGUCGAUGGAAACCAUCUGGCUAGAGUCCGGAAGAGGAGAGUGGAAUUCCUGGUGUAGCGGUGAAAUGCGCAGAUAUCAGGAAGAACACCCGUGGCGAAGGCGGCUCUCUGGGACGGUACUGACGCUGAGACGCGAAAGCGUGGGGAGCGAACAGG